Molecule: long non-coding RNA, 236 nt
Filed under: Mytilus galloprovincialis (Mediterranean mussel)
Lineage: Eukaryota; Metazoa; Mollusca; Bivalvia; Mytilida; Mytilidae
Source: RNAcentral
GCCCUCAAUUAUAUAAAGUAGCUAAAAAGUCUUGAUAGUUGAACAAUCUCGAUCAAAGUCGAAAUCAGAACACUUUUACCGCUUUCGUAGACCCAAAAAAUUCAAAAAUUUGAUAUAUAAACAUUUAGAUAAGCAUAAUCACAAUCUUAAAUUUGUAAAAUGCCAACCCCUCGAAACUGUUCAGAAACAACCAAGAGAAUCACACAAGCAAUUUGAAAAAUCACGUGAAGUUCGCG